UGUUAAUUAUCGCUUUAGCCACACACACCUUUUACCCCCAAACCAACCCCUUUUAUUCCCCCUUGAUUAAUUUUUGAUGUACAUGCAUACAUACUUAUACAUACAUAUGUGAUGUUCAAUUGAUGGCUGAACAGAGCUCUAUAUAGUAUUCUGUAUUUGUAUUAUGCUGGGCAAUAUGUAUAUUAGUGUAGAUCUCUUAUCACCUUAAAAAACUCUAAGGCUUCACUCUCGAACUCGAAACUAUUUGGGCUUUGAACAAAACACAAAACAUCCAUACGCACAAUCGCACAUCUGUACACAUAUACAUACAUAAACACACACACACACUCUCGAAUCAUUUGGUGAUUUUUGUGUGUCAACUAGAGUAAUCUAUUACAAUAGUCAAAGAUUCGUUUCUGUCGUAAUUGUAUAAUUGUAUUUGCACAUAUAGCUUAUAUAGCUAGCAUAUACUAGCUUCACAUACACACAUGCAUAUACCUAUUAAUGUUCAUAUUUGUCAAAUAUAAGGGCUGUUCCAAGAAUGCUUUAUUUUCAAAUCUAUCAAAAUCUUAUUUAUUAAUCUGAUGCAAUUUACAAUGCUAAGGAUAAUAUAUAAGAGUUAUCUAGUCUGAAGUCUCCGAUUACGAAAUACCCUGCCAAAAAAUAGACGCAUACCAUGCUCGGCGUGGAUUUGCGUAGCCGUAGAUCAUCAGAGCUAUAAGAUGGGCCACACCUUUUAGCAAGGUGGAAUGUCAUAUCCGCCUAACUUGCAUUCUAUUGUUACUAUCAUAAAUGUCGAGAGUAUCGUGCUAGUAAACCCCUAUGGGCUAUACGUCACUUUAAAUAAACCUUCAAUUCCGACACACAAACAUGUUGCAAGUUGCGCUUCUUUUCUAUGGAAAUCUGCCCGAACAUUAAAAAUGUUUCAGGACACAAAGAUGACGUUCAAUUUAAAAACAAUUUUUACUUUUAUAAUUGUUAUUUCAUAUUUUUAUACAUAAUGCAAACAUGCUAGUACCUGGUACACUAGAAAUCAAGAAACUACUUAUCUGUGUUUAUACUGAUAGUGACGUGUUCAUAGGGACGGAAAGACAGACUCGAUUUUUGAUGUUCAUCAAAGAAAUAUAUAGACUUUAGAGGCCCAACAUUUUGGCCAGUAUUUAAUGCAUAUAGGGGUAUUCAAAAUAAUAUAAUUCAUUUAGAGUUUUUUGUAAGAAAAGUAAAAGUAACAAUUUAUUUCCGUGAGGUUUUUAAUUACAGAAAUAGGGAACAGUCGUAUGCGUGUAGCUGUGCGUGUGCUUUGAUACAUAUGUAUGUAUGUGUGUGUGUGUGUGUAUAUAUGCAAAGUGCGCUUGUGUGAGUGUGUGUUACUUUAGUAUAUAAAACUAUUUUUAAUCAGCUUUGACUGCGCGUUUCAUGUUGUGCAUUAUCCAAAAGUCACAAGUAGCCCAUGACAUACACUUACCUGGUCGCAAAACCUAGACCAACCACAACCCCCCACUGCCUGCCCACCUUUUCACGCACAUUCGCAUAUGUACAUGUAUUUACAUGUGUAUGUGCAUAUGUUUGAUAGUCAUAUCCAGCCAGGCACACCCAUGUUGGCUCUGCAUAAACGCAUGGCAGUUCGCGCCCCUCCUCCCCAUAUUCCCCACACAUACACCCUCUAGAGCUUUAACUGUGUAUUUACCGUUCUUUUUCUGACACUCGUUUGACAGUUGGCGGCAUUUUGAAGUUACUUUUCUAGUUUUUGCAAACUUGUCAUUUGUUUUCGUUCUCUUGUUGUUGUUCUUUCGCUGUUAAGUGGUCAUAUAUGUACAUACAUACAUAUGUAAGUGUACGUACAUGUGUGCGUGUGUAUGUUGAAAGCUGCGAUAAGACGGCGAAUGCGUCAUGACCACAAACAUAGACCCACCCGCCGCGCUACGGCAAUGGAAUGUUUUCGCCAGGCCAAACCACUUGUUGGCACAGCUCCAAUGGCACCACCAACAACAACAACAGCAGCAUUACCAACUGCAACAACAGCCCCAGCUACUGCAACAACAACAACAAAUGUGGCUCGCCCUUGUGCUAUCCUCAUACAUACAUAUGUAUGUGAAAACAUUUGCUGUUGGCAUCGGGCGGCGUUAAAAAUUCAAAAUUCCCAGUAUGUUUAAUGUGACGAUGCAUUCAUUGUUCGUAAGUGCGUAUAUGUGUGUGUCUGUGGGGCAUAAAUACAUAUGCACACGUAUUUAUAUCAAAUAUAUGGCGUAUGCAUGCGUAUGUACUAUGCAUGUAUUUGUCAUAAAUCUGCAAAAUGAAAUAAAACAUAUAGGGCGUACCAUCAACUGAUAAACCAAUUUAACGCAUGACUUAUCCAUGUCGAUGACAACUUGAAUAUUUAUCCUUCUCUUGAUUUCGAUGGCAGUUAAAUUUGUGCAAGUCAUCGUCACAAUUUUUCGACUUCAUUAAUCAUUUGUAUUGGUCGCCCACAAAUUAAAAUGCUUUGGUUUCAGAGCAUAUUCUUAAUUCUGAAAGUUCGCAAUCCUUAUACAAAAAAAAAUUGAAAAUUUAUGAUUGCAAUAAUAUAUUUUAUAAUUUUAUUAAGUGAGUCAUACGUUUUUCGCAAAAAAAUUAUUUAAAAAUACAAAAUACAAUGACUUUUAUGUCUGGGCAGCUACCAUUUCUUAUCGACCUUAUUUGCGACUUUUUCUAAACCAUAAUCAUAGCCUUAAAAAU
Drosophila montana is the source of this 2694-nucleotide long non-coding RNA. RefSeq lists it as uncharacterized. NCBI's taxonomy places the organism in Eukaryota, Metazoa, Arthropoda, Insecta, Diptera, Drosophilidae. The transcript is spliced from 2 exons. The record is from RefSeq and is a predicted model, not a curated record.